GAAGGGGGGCAGUUGUCCACUCCACUGGCGAGCAACGUGCGACGCGUCAAGCUCUGCUUUGUGGCGCAAAUCGGUGGCGCGUGAAACUGGACUGAUGAGAUGAUGAUGUCUUCAUGCCUUCCAGUUCGAUGCAUACUCGCCCAGAAGUCCUUCGCGUGUGUCUUCACCAUAUAACGGUUAAUGCAAAUCCAUCUUGAUCGAGUGAUGCAAGAUUGUCAACUGAAAAAACACGAGGGGGCCCCAGUACUCUACUGACUAGUAGAUCCUCACUCGUGGCCACAACUCGCCAAUAGGCCAAUACCACCUCCCCUGCCGGUCUGCCGCCCAAAGGCCAUCUCCUCUUCGAAACCCUAGCAACCACCAAAUAGCUGACCCUGAUGAAGCGAGCAACCGCCAACACCAACCCUUCGUUGGCCGGACAAGAUUAGAAGAAUAAGGGGGUCCCGGAGGGGCAUACACUACACAUUGUCUUGGAAAAAAAAACAAUUCCGCCGCAUGUGACCAUGCAUUGCAAAAGGAUUUGGUCCUUCAAGAUCGAGUUGUCAACGUCGAGAAGAACUGAAAAUAUCUCAGGAUCAACCGCCAUAAUUGCGCCAACGAGCCAAACAGGCAAUUUGUGGAGACAUACCCAAUCCCUUAGCUUAAAAGUACCCAGGUUUGCAUUAUGCUUGAAGAAAAAACAGACCUUAACAAAAACUACAGAGUAUGUUAACCAAAAAUAAAAAUACAUGGGAUUACUUAUGAAGUGAAAGGAAAGGCAAAGGCAAUUAUUUGUACUGGUGUUCU
Molecule: long non-coding RNA, 786 nt
Organism: Panicum virgatum (switchgrass)
Lineage: Eukaryota; Viridiplantae; Streptophyta; Magnoliopsida; Poales; Poaceae
Exons: 3
Source: RefSeq, a predicted model, not a curated record